GCCUUGAAAGCUCACGAGCUAGGGCGCCUGGUCUUGUAAACCAGGAGAGAGGGUUAAACUCCUUCUCAAGGCU
Molecule: transfer RNA, 73 nt
Filed under: Pseudocentrotus depressus
Lineage: Eukaryota; Metazoa; Echinodermata; Echinoidea; Camarodonta; Echinidae
Description: tRNA-Thr
Rfam family: tRNA
About the family: Transfer RNA (tRNA) molecules are approximately 80 nucleotides in length.
Source: RNAcentral